RNAcentral lists this ribosomal RNA (428 nucleotides) under Bacteroidota bacterium. RNAcentral's name for it is "Bacteroidetes bacterium partial 16S ribosomal RNA". It matches the Rfam family "Bacterial small subunit ribosomal RNA", at positions 355 to 776 of the family's 1533-position model. The record is from RNAcentral. Lineage: Bacteria; Pseudomonadati; Bacteroidota.
UAGGGAAUCUUCCGCAAUGGACGCAAGUCUGAUGGAGCAACGCCGCGUGAGUGAAGAAGGAUUUCGGUUCGUAAAACUCUGUUGUUAGAGAAGAACAGCGCAUAGAGUAACUGUUAUGCGUGUGACGGUAUCUAACCAGAAAGCCACGGCUAACUACGUGCCAGCAGCCGCGGUAAUACGUAGGUGGCAAGCGUUGUCCGGAUUUAUUGGGCGUAAAGCGAGCGCAGGCGGUUAGAUAAGUCUGAAGUUAAAGGCAGUGGCUCAACCAUUGUAGGCUUUGGAAACUGUUUAACUUGAGUGCAGAAUGGGAGAGUGGAAUUCCAUGUGUAGCGGUGAAAUGCGUAGAUAUAUGGAGGAACACCGGUGGCGAAAGCGGCUCUCUGGUCUGUAACUGACGCUGAGGCUCGAAAGCGUGGGGAGCGAACAGG